Molecule: ribosomal RNA, 422 nt
Filed under: uncultured prokaryote
Description: bacterial SSU rRNA
Rfam family: Bacterial small subunit ribosomal RNA
Source: RNAcentral
UGGGGAAUAUUGCGCAAUGGAGGAAACUCUGACUCAGCAACGCCGCGUGAGUGAAGAAGGUUCUAUGGAUUGUAAACUUCUUUUGCAGGGGAAUAAAGGACGGUACGUGUACUGUUUUGUAUGUACCUUGCGAAUAAGGAUCGGCUAACUCCGUGCCAGCAGCCGCGGUAAUACGGAGGAUCCGAGCGUUAUCCGGAUUUAUUGGGUUUAAAGGGUGCGUAGGUGGAUUGUUAAGUCAGUGGUGAAAGUUUUCAGCUCAACUGAAAAAUUGCCGUUGAAACUGUCGAUCUUGAGUGCAAAUGAGGUAGGCGGAAUGUGUUGUGUAGCGGUGAAAUGCUUAGAUAUAACACAGAACUCCGAUUGCGAAGGCAGCUUACUGGGAUGCAACUGACACUGAUGCACGAAAGCGUGGGUAUCAAACA